Molecule: ribosomal RNA, 444 nt
Filed under: Triticum aestivum (bread wheat)
Lineage: Eukaryota; Viridiplantae; Streptophyta; Magnoliopsida; Poales; Poaceae
Description: partial small subunit ribosomal RNA
Source: RNAcentral
AUGUUCUUCUUUAAUAAUGUUGAGACUGCCACCCACCUCACCUUUACUUGUCCCGUGGCUCGUGUGGUCUGGAGGUCGAUUGGGAUGGUAUUGGGGACUGAUUUGUGUCCUAAUGACUAUUGGCAAUAUUAUGUUUGGUGCCAUAGAUUUCUCCCCGCUGAAACAGAAUUCCAUACGGUCGGACUGGCCGCGGUGACUUGGGCUACCUAGCUGGCACACAACAGGGCUACUUUUGAGAAAAAAAUAAUCAAAUCUCCUUUUGAGAUUGUAUUCUCGAUUUGUUCUUUUCUUUUAUACUGGGCAGGUCUCCAACCAAAGGGGGAAGCAACAAAGCUACGGCAAGGCGCUGAGUUGAUCACACCGAACACUAUGAAGCUGAUGAAACUCUAUGAAGAAUCCAGAUGGGCAGUUCAUGAUGCGGGGGGGGGGGUGCUCUCAUGGUGA